AUGCAUGUGGAUAAAGCACCUGGGCCUGAUGGCUUUAAUGGUCUAUUCUUCAAGAGGUGCUGGCACAUUAUUUCAAGUGAUCUGGCUCAUGCUUUUCAUGAGGGGACUGCAGUGCUGGACAACAUUAAUAGUUCUUUCAUUACUCUGAUUCCCAAGAAACUCUCACCUGAGGAAGUGGGGGACUAUAGGCCUAUUUCUCUCACAAGCAUGGGUCUGAAAUUCCUCUCUAAGAUGGCUGCCAAUAGGUUUCAGAGGAUAAUCAUGAAAUGCAUUCAUAAGAACCAGUAUGGUUUCAUUAAGAGCAGAACAAUUCAGGACUGCAUUGGUUGGACCUUUGAGUAUCUGCAUUAA
RNAcentral lists this ribosomal RNA (351 nucleotides) under Triticum aestivum (bread wheat). RNAcentral describes it as "partial small subunit ribosomal RNA". The record is from RNAcentral. Lineage: Eukaryota; Viridiplantae; Streptophyta; Magnoliopsida; Poales; Poaceae.